Molecule: long non-coding RNA, 2536 nt
Organism: Oncorhynchus masou masou (cherry salmon)
Lineage: Eukaryota; Metazoa; Chordata; Actinopteri; Salmoniformes; Salmonidae
Exons: 2
Source: RefSeq, a predicted model, not a curated record
GAGCAGGUAGCCUAGUGCUUAGAGGCUGGUAGACUAGUGGUUAGAGAGGCUGGUAGCCUAGUGGUUAGAGAGGCAGGUAGCCUAGUGGUUAGAGAGGCAGGUAGCCUAGUGGUUAGAGAGGCAGGUAGCCUAGUGGUUAGAGGCAGGUAGCCUAGUGGUUAGAGGCAGGUAGCCUAGUGGUUAGAGAGGCUGGUAGACUAGUGGUUAGGGAGGCUGGUAGUCUAGUGGUUAGAGAGGCUGGUAGACUAGUGGUUAGAGAGGCUGGUAGACUAGUGGUUAGGGAGGCUGUUAGACUAGUGGUUAGAGGCAGGUAGCCUAGUGGUUAGAGCAGGUAGCCUAGUGGUUAGAGCAGGUAGCCUAGUGGUUAGAGCAGGUAGCCUAGUGGUUAGAGCAGGUAGCCUAGUGGUUAGAGGCUGGUAGACUAGUGGUUAGGGAGGCUGGUAGACUAGUGGUUAGAGAGGCUGGUAGACUAGUGGUUAGAGCAGGUAGCCUAGUGGUUAGAGCAGGUAGCCUAGUGGUUAGAGGCAGGUAGCCUAGUGGUUAGAGGCAGGUAGCCUAGUGGUUAGAGGCAGGUAGCCUAGUGGUUAGAGUCAGGUAGCCUAGUGGUUAGAGGCUGGUAGACUAGUGGUUAGAGGCUGGUAGCCUAGUGGUUAGAGCAGGUAGCCUAGUGGUUAGAGGCAGGUAGCCUAGUGGUUAGAGAGACUGGUAGCCUAGUGGUUAGAGCAGGUAGCCUAGUGGUUAGAGCAGGUAGCCUAGUGGUUAGAGGCAGGUAGCCUAGUGGUUAGAGGCAGGUAGCCUAGUGGUUAGAGACAGGUAGCCUAGUGGUUAGAGGCAGGUAGCCUAGUGGUUAGAGGCUGGUAGCCUAGUGGUUAGAGGCUGGUAGCCUAGUGGUUAGAGCAGGUAGCCUAGUGGUUAGAGCAGGUAGCCUAGUGGUUAGAGGCAGGUAGCCUAGUGGUUAGAGCAGGUAGCCUAGUGGUUAGAGGAGGCAGGUAGCCUAGUGGUUAGAGGAGGCAGGUAGCCUAGUGGUUAGAGGAGGCAGGUAGCCUAGUGGUUAGAGGAGGCAGGUAGCCUAGUGGUUAGAGGAGGCAGGUAGCCUAGUGGUUAGAGGAGGCAGGUAGCCUAGUGGUUAGAGGAGGCAGGUAGCCUAGUGGUUAGAGGAGGCUGGUAGCCUAGUGGUUAGAGGAGGCUGGUAGCCUAGUGGUUAGAGGAGGCAGGUAGCCUAGUGGUUAGAGGAGGCAGGUAGCCUAGUGGUUAGAGGAGGCAGGCAGCCUAGUAGUUAGAGGAGGCAGGUAGCCUAGUGUUUAGAGCGUUGAACUUGUAACUGAAAGGUUGCAAGAUCAAAUCCCCGAGCUGACAAGGUACAAAUCUGUUGUUUUACCCCUGUUCCUAGGCCGUCAUUGUAAAAAGGAAUGUAUUCAUAACUGACUUGCCUAGUAAAUAUAAAAGUCAAUAAGAUGACAAAGGAGGGAUAUCCCUCUUACUUAUUUCUAUUGAGUCAUGAUGAUGAUCACAUCGCCUGUUUAAGCCCGUUGCCUUUACUUGGAGCUGAAAAUAAAUGGGCCAGUCACGAAGAUGACCCUACUUUGAUGUGACACAAACUGAACGUUCUAGAUUAGAACAGGAGUUAUGCUUUGUGAUUAUAUUACAUUAACCUCUAUGGCCAGUUUCCCAGACACAGAUUAAUAUAGCCCCGGAACUUUUUCUUUUUUUUAAAAAGUAUUUCAAUUGAGAAUGAGUUAGUCCAGAACCUACGUUACAUUACUAAAUCUAACUGAGGAACCAACCUGACUGUUUCUACUAUUGCUAAAUUAAAAUAAAUUAGAAAAAAAAAAUAUAUAUAUAUUCUUCAAAUCAAAUCAAAUUUUAUUUAUAUAGCCCUUUGUACAUCAGCUGAUAUCUCAAAGUGCUGUACAGAAACCCAGCCUAAAACCCCAAACAGCAAGCAAUGCAGGUGUAGAAGCACUGUGGCUAGGAAAAACUCCCUAGAAAGGCCAAAACCUAGGAAGAAACCUAGAGAGGAACCAGGCUAUGUGUGGUGGCCAAUCCUCUUCUGGCUGUGCCGGGUGGAGAUUAUAACAGAACAUGGCCAAGAUGUUCAAAUGUUCAUAGAUGACCAGCAGUGUCAAAUAAUAAUAAUCACAGUAGUUGUCGAGGGUGCAACAGGUCAGCUUUUCAUAGCCGAUCAUUGAGAGUAUCUCUACCACUGAUGCUGUCUCUAGAGAGUUGAAAACAGCAGGUCUGGGACAGGUAGCACGUCCUUCUUUCCCGUCUAAACCAUUUAAGAGAAACAAACCGUAUUUUAAGCUAGAAUCGUACAGUGUGACAGGGCCACAGAUACAGAAGGGUUGUGCUCAUCAGUGAGAAUCUUCCUGUUUGUUUAUUCAUUAUUUACAGUAAAACAUAUCAUGUUUGAAAAAAAUCUUGAAUAUAAAUAAUAUAAUGAAAAACAGAUGGGUCAAUACCACUUCCAGAAGAAUGUUAAUUGAAGCAGGCUAAUAAUUCAUGAUUCAUUUAUUAAAGUUGUCUUUUCUGAUUA